UGAAUGCUGUAUGUCUGGUGGGCUUGG
RNAcentral lists this non-coding RNA (27 nucleotides) under Mus musculus (house mouse). The record is from RNAcentral. Lineage: Eukaryota; Metazoa; Chordata; Mammalia; Rodentia; Muridae.